AAACAAACAGAGACUGAUUUGUGUCAUCAACAGAGGAGCAUGGACUAAUGUACAACCUGUAUUUGCCGUGCCUUGGAGUCCAUGAGUUCUGCUUUGUACCGGCCGUGUCUUGGAGUCCCAUGACUUUUGCAUUGGUAAGUUUAUAAUUCAAUUAUAUUUUUUUAAAUUCUGCGUCCUCCACUAGUUUGUAUUUACGUUGUUUUGAUUUAUCGUCUUCCAC
Molecule: long non-coding RNA, 220 nt
Organism: Dalotia coriaria
Lineage: Eukaryota; Metazoa; Arthropoda; Insecta; Coleoptera; Staphylinidae
Exons: 3
Source: RefSeq, a predicted model, not a curated record